This 253-nucleotide ribosomal RNA is filed under the name uncultured bacterium. RNAcentral describes it as "partial 16S ribosomal RNA". It matches the Rfam family "Bacterial small subunit ribosomal RNA", at positions 524 to 776 of the family's 1533-position model. The record is from RNAcentral.
UACGUAGGGUGCAAGCGUUGUCCGGAAUUAUUGGGCGUAAAGAGCUCGUAGGCGGUUUGUCGCGUCUGCUGUGAAAACUCGGGGCUUAACUCCGGGCCUGCAGUGGGUACGGGCAGACUAGAGUGCGGUAGGGGAGACUGGAAUUCCUGGUGUAGCGGUGAAAUGCGCAGACAUCAGGAGGAACACCGGUGGCGAAGGCGGGUCUCUGGGCCGUAACUGACGCUGAGGAGCGAAAGCGUGGGGAGCGAACAGG